UGGGGACAUAAGCAUUAAAACUUUCAGACAAGUAAGACAUAAUAUCAGAAAAAUUGCAUUCUGAUAGCAGUGAUUAGGUUUCUAGUUUUUUUUUUACUUCUUUUAUCAUUUUUGUGUGACAGUGUUUAUGAGUUACUUGUAGCUUCGCUAUUCUAAUAAAAACGUUUGGAUGCGUUUAUCUUUUCUUCAUUAUUUGAUUGGUUCAUAUUUACAUGUAGAAUGUUUUUUGUUACCAAAUUUUAAAGCAGAAACUUCAAACAGUAACAUUUCAGUACAUUAAACUUUUUAUCUAGUAACUUGUUACAUUUACGAGUGUCUUGACCGUUUCCAAAAUGACAAAAAAAA
Molecule: long non-coding RNA, 345 nt
Filed under: Mytilus galloprovincialis (Mediterranean mussel)
Lineage: Eukaryota; Metazoa; Mollusca; Bivalvia; Mytilida; Mytilidae
Source: RNAcentral